This 74-nucleotide transfer RNA is filed under the name Bacteroidota bacterium. RNAcentral describes it as "Bacteroidetes bacterium tRNA-Gln". It matches the Rfam family "tRNA". From Rfam's summary of the family: Transfer RNA (tRNA) molecules are approximately 80 nucleotides in length. Their secondary structure includes four short double-helical elements and three loops (D, anti-codon, and T loops). Lineage: Bacteria; Pseudomonadati; Bacteroidota. The record is from RNAcentral.
UGCGGGAUCGUCUAAUGGUAGGACUCCAGAUUUUGGAUCUGGCUAUCGGGGUUCGAAUCCCUGUCCCGCAGCUA